AGGGGACCUUCGGGCCUUUCGCUAACAGAUGAGCCUGCGUUGGAUUAGCUAGUUGGUGGGGUAAGGGCCCACCAAGGCGACGAUCCAUAGCUGGUCUGAGAGGACGAUCAGCCACACUGGGACUGAGACACGGCCCAGACUCCUACGGGAGGCAGCAGUGGGGAAUAUUGGACAAUGGGCGAAAGCCUGAUCCAGCAAUACCGCGUGUGUGAAGAAGGCCUUAGGGUUGUAAAGCACUUUCAAUUGGGAGGAAAACCUGCCGGCCAAUACCCGGUAGCUUGACAUUACCUUUAGAAGAAGCACCGGCUAACUCCGUGCCAGCAGCCGCGGUAAUACGGAGGGUGCGAGCGUUAAUCGGAAUUACUGGGCGUAAAGAGUGCGUAGGCGGCACGUUAAGUCAGAUGUGAAAGCCCUGGGCUCAACCUGGGAACUGCAUUUGAAACUGGCGAGCUAGAGUUGAGUAGAGGUAAGUGGAAUUUCAGGUGUAGCGGUGAAAUGCGUAGAUAUCUGAAGGAACACCAGUGGCGAAGGCGACUUACUGGACUCAAACUGACGCUGAGGUACGAAAGCGUGGGUAGCAAACAGGAUUAGAUACCCUGGUAGUCCACGCCGUAAACGAUGUCAACUAGC
RNAcentral lists this ribosomal RNA (630 nucleotides) under uncultured bacterium. RNAcentral describes it as "bacterial SSU rRNA". It matches the Rfam family "Bacterial small subunit ribosomal RNA", at positions 202 to 820 of the family's 1533-position model. The record is from RNAcentral.